ACGCUGGGGGGCGUGUUUAACACAUGCAAGUCGAGCGAUGAAGUUUCUUCGAAAAUGGAUUAGCGGCGAACGGGUGAGGAACACGUGAAGAAUCUGCCCUCCACUUUGGGAUAACACCGGGAAACCGGUGCUAAUACUGAAUAUUGAAACAUAAGUGGCAUCACUGAGUUUUGAAAGAAUUUCGGUGGAGGAUGACUUCGCGGCCUAUCAGCUAGUUGGUGAGGUAAUGGCUCACCAAGGCAACGACGGGUAGCCGGCCUGAGAGGGCGACCGGCCACACUGGGACUGAGACACGGCCCAGACUCCUACGGGAGGCAGCAGUGGGGAAUAUUGGGCAAUGGAGGAAACUCUGACCCAGCGACGCCGCGUGCGGGAUGAAGGCCUUCGGGUUGUAAACCGCUUUCAGUAGGGAAGAAGCGAAAGUGACGGUACCUACAAAAGAAGCACCGGCUAACUAUGUGCCAGCAGCCGCGGUAAUACAUAGGGUGCAAGCGUUGUCCGGAAUUAUUGGGCGUAAAGAGCUCGUAGGUCGUUUGUUACGUCGGAUGUGAAAACCUGAGGCUCAACCUCAGGCCUGCAUUCGAUACGGGCAAACUAGAGUUUGGUAGGGGAGACUGGAAUUCCUGGUGUAGCGGUGGAAUGCGCAGAUAUCAGGAGGAACACCAAUGGCGAAGGCAGGUCUCUGGGCCAAUACUGACACUGAGGAGCGAAAGUCUGGGGAGCGAACAGGAUUAGAUACCCUGGUAGUCCAGACCGUAAACGGUGGGCACUAGUUGUGGGAACCUUCCACGGUUUCUGCGACGCAGCUAACGCAUUAAGUGCCCCGCCUGGGGAGUACGAUCGCAAGAUUAAAACUCAAAGGAAUUGACGG
Molecule: ribosomal RNA, 871 nt
Filed under: uncultured bacterium
Lineage: Bacteria
Description: bacterial SSU rRNA
Rfam family: Bacterial small subunit ribosomal RNA
Source: RNAcentral